RNAcentral lists this ribosomal RNA (485 nucleotides) under uncultured bacterium. RNAcentral's name for it is "partial 16S ribosomal RNA". The record is from RNAcentral.
GUAGUUAGCCGGGGCUUCCUCCUCAGGUACCGUCAUUUGUUUCGUCCCUGAGGACAGAGGUUUACAAUCCGAAGACCUUCUUCCCUCACGCGGCGUUGCUGGGUCAGGGUUUCCCCCAUUGCCCAAUAUUCCCCACUGCUGCCUCCCGUAGGAGUCUGGACCGUGUCUCAGUUCCAGUGUGGCCGAUCACCCUCUCAGGUCGGCUACCCAUCGCGGGCUUGGUGGGCCGUUACCUCACCAACUACCUAAUGGGACGCGAGCUCAUCCAUAAGCGAUAAAUCUUUGACCCCUCUGCCAUGUGGCAAUGUGGUCUUAUGCGGUAUUAGCAGCCGUUUCCAGCUGUUGUCCCCCUCUUAUGGGCAGAUUGCUCACGCGUUACUCACCCGUCCGCCACUAAGUCAUGAGAGCAAGCUCUCAUGCUUCGUUCAACUUGCAUGUGUUAAGCACGCCGCCAGCGUUCGUCCUGAGCCAGGAUCAAACUCUGA